This 465-nucleotide ribosomal RNA is filed under the name uncultured bacterium. Its description in RNAcentral is "partial 16S ribosomal RNA". It matches the Rfam family "Bacterial small subunit ribosomal RNA", at positions 28 to 507 of the family's 1533-position model. The record is from RNAcentral.
GACGAACGCUGGCGGCGUGCUUAACACAUGCAAGUCGAACGGAAAGGCCCCUUUGGGGGUCCUCGAGUGGCGAACGGGUGAGUAACACGUGAGUAACCUGCCCUUGACUUCGGGAUAACUUCAGGAAACUGGGGCUAAUACCGGAUAGGAAUCCUUGCUGCAUGGUGGGGGUUGGAAAGCUUCGGCGGUUUUGGAUGGACUCGCGGCUUAUCAGCUUGUUGGUGGGGUAGUGGCUUACCAAGGCUUUGACGGGUAGCCGGCCUGAGAGGGCGACCGGCCACAUUGGGACUGAGAUACGGCCCAGACGCCUACGGGAGGCAGCAGUGGGGAAUAUUGCACAAUGGGCGGAAGCCGGAUGCAGCAACGCCGCGGGCGGGAGGACGGCCUUCGGGUUGUAAACCGCUUUCAGCAGGGGCGAAGCUUGUGGUGACGGUACCUGCAGAAGAAGCACCGGCUAACUACGUG